RNAcentral lists this ribosomal RNA (321 nucleotides) under uncultured bacterium. RNAcentral's name for it is "bacterial SSU rRNA". It matches the Rfam family "Bacterial small subunit ribosomal RNA", at positions 28 to 334 of the family's 1533-position model. The record is from RNAcentral.
GAUGAACGCUAGCGACAGGCUUAACACAUGCAAGUCGAGGGGCAGCGGGGGAGAAAGCUUGCUUUCUCCUGCCGGCGACCGGCGCACGGGUGAGUAACACGUAUGCAACCUGGCCGUCACAGGUGGAUAACCGGAAGAAAUUCCGACUAAUACAGCAUAACACUCCUGAGGGACAUCCUUCGGGAGUCAAAGGAGGCGACUCCGGUGACGGAUGGGCAUGCGGCGCAUUAGGUAGUUGGUAGGGUAACGGCCUACCAAGCCGACGAUGCGUAGGGGUUCUGAGAGGAAGGUCCCCCACAUUGGAACUGAGACACGGACCAG